AGGGAAUCUUCCGCAAUGGACGAAAGUCUGACGGAGCAACGCCGCGUGAGUGAUGAAGGUUUUCGGAUCGUAAAGCUCUGUUGCCAGGGAAGAACGUCCGUUAGAGUAACUGCUAACGGAGUGACGGUACCUGAGAAGAAAGCCCCGGCUAACUACGUGCCAGCAGCCGCGGUAAUACGUAGGGGGCGAGCGUUGUCCGGAAUUAUUGGGCGUAAAGCGCGCGCAGGCGGCUGUUUAAUGCUGGUGUUUAAGCCUGGGGCGCAACCCCGGGUCGCACUGGAAACUGGGCAGCUUGAGUGCAGAAGAGGAGAGUGGAAUUCCACGUGUAGCGGUGAAAUGCGUAGAGAUGUGGAGGAACACCAGUGGCGAAGGCGACUCUCUGGGCUGUAACUGACGCUGAGGCGCGAAAGCGUGGGGAGCAAAC
RNAcentral lists this ribosomal RNA (424 nucleotides) under uncultured bacterium. Its description in RNAcentral is "bacterial SSU rRNA". It matches the Rfam family "Bacterial small subunit ribosomal RNA", at positions 356 to 773 of the family's 1533-position model. The record is from RNAcentral.